CAGUGGCAUUGGCAGCAUAUAAAUGGUAUAUACAAUAAGAGCUGUAGGAUUUAUAAGUAGACUGUCAUGGGAUAGUAUGGUGGAGAAGGUUUCAUAGAGGAGAUGGGGACAGGAACUGAGACUUGAACUAUGACGAGGCAUGAGCUAGGCUGCAAAGAGGCAUGAGGCCAUUCCAAGCAGAAAGUAAAAACGGAGAAAUAGUCAUGAGCAUUGUACCAGGGGGGAAUGUGAGGAGGCUGGCAUUGUAGAAGGAAAUAUAUACUUGAGGAUUGGAUUUGGAUUAUGGGCAGGCAGGAUUGCAAAGGUAAUUUGAAGUUAGAGUACUGUUAGCAAAUAACAAAAAGGGACUUUCCCAUGUAUAACAGCCAGGAGGAAAGGGAUAACAUUAUACCUGAAGUCGUUUAUCUGGAAUUCCCUUGGGGUGCAUGUGUCACUCAAAAGUAUGAGUGCUCUUAAGUUCUCCUUGCUCAUGACCACCAGUACACCACAGAGGAAAAUCUACACUAUAUACAUUCUGGGGAGCUGAGACGUGAGAAGAAACACCAGGAACUAUAAAACAGUGCUAGGUAUUCUUAGACCUAAUUCUAAUUUUGUUACUCAUCAUUUUUCUGUGAAGGCACUAAGUUCAACUUUGAAAAAAAAAAGUUCCCUGUUCAACUUUUGGGGACAGAAAAGUUAAAGAGCAUCCAAAAAGAUGACAACUUACAUCUCCUUGAUACCUGCUGGAUGCUGGGAGGAGACACAGGAGCAUGAAUAGGACAGAAUAGAUUAUAAAGGAGAAAUUGAACAGGAGAUGAGAGCAUUCAAGAGCUCCAUUCAAAAUUAUGAAACAUGAUUUUCUAUUUGAUACUAUUCUUCUUUCAUUUAUUCAUUCAACAGAUGACAAAGUUCAAUGAUAAUCAUUCUUUGAAGUUUAUCUACCCAAACUGGAGCCAUGUCAAAAGACUCCUUGAAGAAUGAUUGCUGGGGAAGAAAUCAAUGGCAUCAACAGAAAGAACAAAGACAGAAAAUGUAAAAGGCAAGGGGAAAAGAAAAAGAAAGACAUAAAAAUUUAAGAAAAAAGAGGCAAAAGAAAACUAAAAAAAUAGAGACUAGGCUUCUUUAAUGGCUCCAACAGAAAUUAAAAAAAAAAAAAAAAAAACUACAUCUGCCUUUUGCUUUUGAAUAAAUAGAACAUUUUACCAAUAAUGCCAAGAUGACUCACAACACACAUUUUAUGUAUCUUGUAAUUUUCCUAUACACUGCAAAGACAACAUAGUUGAGCUAAUACUAGCGAAGUCUUACAUGUAAUUAUAGGAUGCCUAUAGCAUUUCUAGUAUAAUAUAUUAAUGAAAACCAGUUAUUUAAUUAUGGCAUAAUAUCAUGAAAAGCUUUUAUAGUCACUUGCUAAAACAGACCAAAAAAACAUUUUCCCAAAUAUAGCUGAGGAACAGUAGAAUCGUAUCUUGAUGUCAGUAGAUGCCUUUGCCGGGGUGUAGAAACAGCUUCUCCUGUCAUUAAAAGGACAAACUGUAAUCCAUCUGCCAUGUAUAAUUUGACAAUCUGCAAUCUUUAAACAGUAGGAGGGAAAGACAUGUCUUCCAAAAUUUCCCCUGAAGGAGGAGGCUUUCAGCAGUUCCCAAUUACUAUCUAGGCCUAAUGUCUCACUUGAGACAUCUGCUCAGCAGUUAGUAGUGAAAACCUGGCAUACAGGAGAUCAGAGGUGUGCCUCAUAAUUAUUGUUGGCCUUUAAAUGGCCAACUUUUAGAAUAUGAGCCAAUCACUAAGCUUCAGGUGUGCAUUUUGGCAACCUUUGGUGGGGUGCCAGUAUAAACCCCCAGAUCUAACUUUUGUUCACAUAAACUUCUGAGAUGAUAAUCUUUCUAAAGUUCAAGGUGGAAAAAUUCACUGUGAAGUGAGUCUGGGUUCAGUAAUGAGCCAAAGAUCUUAACACAUUUCUACUGAUAAUAGAAGAAUGAAAAUCAUAGAAUGCCAUAGAUCCAUGUUUCCUGCAGAUAAGGAUUGCUUUCUUGGGACCCAUUUCAGCUCAUUACAUUUAUUAAGUCAACUAAAAAUCUUUCCUGGCACUGGUUCAGAAUGCACAAAGCUGUUGUCUACAAAAACCUACUUUAGUUACCACGUGGGUGUUUUCCCAGGUAGGGGUGAUUUUAAAGGGAAAAUAAGAAAAUGGAAAAUUCCAUUUUGCAGAUUUAGGCUUACCUUCUGAAAUCUUGAGAAUGCUGGGUGAGAUUUAAGACAGACUCUGUCGUUCUAUCAUCAGAGAAAUGCAAAUCAAAACCGCAAUGAGAUACUAUCUCACACCAGUCAGAAUGGCUUUUGAUAAAGAGUCAAAAAAUAACAGAUGUUGGCAAGGCUGUGGAGAAAAGGGUGAACUGAUACUCUGUUGCAAUGUAAAUUAGUCCAGCCACUGUGGAGGGGGCAGUUUGGAGAGUUUGGAAAGAAGUGAGAGUUGAACUGCCAUUCAAACCAGCAAUUCCAUUACUAGAUAGGUCUGGAUGUCUGGAAAAUAAAUUGCUGUACCAAAAGGAAACAUGCACCUGUAUGUUCACUGCAGCACUAUUCACAAUAGCAAAAACGUGGAAUCAACCCAGUUGCCCAUCAACAGUGGAAUGAAUUAAAAAAAUGUGGUACAUGUACACCAUGGAAUACUAUGUAGCCAUAAAUAAGAAUAAAAUCAUGUCAUUUGCGGCAAUAUGGAUAUAGCUGGAGGUCAUUAUCCUAAGUGAAUGAAUGUAAAAAAAGAAAACCAAACGCUGCAUGCUCUUAUUUAUAAAUGGGAGCUAAACAUUGAGUACUAAUGGACUUAAAGAUGGGAAUAAUAGACACUGGGGACUACUAAAGGGUGUGAGAGAGGGAGGGGGGAAGGGCUGAGAAACUACCCAUCGGGUAUUAUGCCCACUACCUGUGUGACAGGCUCAGUCAUACUCCAAACCCCAGCACCACACAAUAUACCUUUGUAACAAACCUGCACAUGUACGUCCUGAUUCCAAAAUAAAAGUUGGAAAAGAAAAUAAAAAAGAUGAACUCUUUGCAGAAAAGCAACGAGCUGAAAGGUACAAAUAACAGUAUUGUUAAUGGGGAAAAGAACCAGUUGAUGCUUUCUUCAUGUGCAACGGUGAGAUUGUUUCAAAACAAGUAGCAUCUGCAAGCAUCCCUUCCCAACAGCCAAAAGACCCAAUCAGGGAGGGGAAAAUGACAACCAAAUGUAAUAUGGGAUCCUAGAUUGGACCUCAGAGAAGAAAAAGGGCACUAGUAGAAAAACAAAUAAAAUCUGAAUAAAUUCUAUAGUUUAGUUAGUGGUAAUUCUACUAUGUUUGUGCAAGAUGCCAAUAUUAAGGGAAGCUGGGUGAAGGGUGGAUAGGAUCUUUCUGUAUCAUCUUUGCAACACUUUUGCAAAUCUAAAAUUACUUUGAAAUAAAAAGUUAAAAGAAAGCAGAGUCAGUUCAGUAGGAAAAUUAGUCCCUGUGCUAAACACUAUUUGCCAGUGGAAAGCCAAAUCAACAUGCGAAUAGUUGUUAUUUUGAACUAUUAUGGAAUUAUGGAAUUAUAAAAUUUCAAUUAUUGUGGAAAAUGUAUUAAUGCUGAAUUAGGUGUUUCUUUUUUAUUAUUAUUAAUUGUAUAAAUGAGAGAACCAAGGCAAGAGCUGUGAAGUGACUUCCUUAGGAAUUGACAUUUAAUUACAUGGAGAGCUGGGAAAAAUGCCUAGAUUUUGUGCUUCUUUGUCCAAUGUCACAGGCAUAACCUAAGUAGCAUGUUACUUCUCUGAAAUCAACAACCAAUUCCUAAAUGAGAAACAAGCAUCUAAUGUGUUCAAAGCACUGUGCUAGACUCUGAAAAUAUAUGGUGCUCUCUCUGUCCAUGAUGAAGUCUAUAUUUGUAGCUAUGUCUCUUUAAAAUUCUCACAGUGUAGCUGAGAAGGCAUAUGCACUGAUAACUGAAGCUUUAUAAUAACCUUUAUAAAACCAGUCGGCACUAAACAUUUUAUGUUAAAUGAGCAAUUUUGACGAUAAUUGUCAAAAAUUAUAGUUUAAGUAGAAAUUAUUAUACAACAAAACUCUUUACUGAAAAAAGUUAACCUUGUGUUGUUCCUCCAUAUAUCAGCUCUGAAAGCAUACAGAACUCUGAGCUGGCAGGAGGGCAGAGGAAAUACUGACUCAAUUUGUUACCACUAUGUCCUUCUCUGACUCCUUGCACGUAAUGUAGAGGAUUGUGGUGGUAACGGGAAGAGGCUUUCCAUACUUCCUUUGGACAAGAUGCCUUUGCCCCUUUCUGUAUUUUUUCCAGGGAAUGUUACCUCAAGGGAAAUGUAAGGAGGUUAUUCAUGUCAGAAACAGUGUUCUAAAAGUACAAUGCAAGUAAAAGAUAUUGUCUGGAAAGGGAGCAAAGAAGUUAAAGAAGGAAAGAUGAACAGCCUGCGCAAAUAGUGAAAUGAGAGAGUUUCGUAUGUUUCCAUGAUUUUAAUUGUGGAAAACGUGGAAGGGGUGAGUUGAAGUUGUCUCAUCAGUGGCUUUGAUUGUAGCAAUUUGUAUCCUAAAAGCAAGCCUUUCUGAACAGGCAGGACCUGGCAGCAGAAUUGCAGAGUACAUGUUGCCAAGUGCAUAAAUAAGUUUAUUUUCCAACUUUUGUCAACAUCAAGCCAUCACAAUUUUCUUUUUUUUCUUCAAGAAAUCAAAGGUUAUUAUAAAGCCUUCGUAGACCAACCCCAGCUCGCCAUCAGGUCUUUAUUUUCUUCAGGCUCAUCUUACAUUCAUCCUAGGGCAGUAAUUUAACAUGUAUUAUGAGUUGCUUGACAAUCCUAGAUUUUUCAUUCAGACACAAUGUUUCCUUGAGAAUUCUAGAAUGAUAGUCAACCUGGUAUAAGAUUCUGUAGUAACACAUCAAUUUUUCCUGAAAAGCAAAUGCCAGUCUUAUUAUGCUCCACAGGAGAUCAGAUAUUGUUUGAAGGCAGUGCUGGGUCUUCAGUGGCUUUGUAACCCACCCAUCCCUUGACACUGUUUUCUCAACAGUAAGUGUUUAAUAAAUCUUAACUGACUGGCUCACUGAGUAAAUGAAUAAAUGAGUGAUUUGUUGAAUGAGUUAAAUAAAUGAUUUCACAUAAAUCAUUGUUAACAAUGCC
RNAcentral lists this long non-coding RNA (5116 nucleotides) under Homo sapiens (human). Its description in RNAcentral is "HSALNT0138320". The record is from RNAcentral. Lineage: Eukaryota; Metazoa; Chordata; Mammalia; Primates; Hominidae.